Molecule: long non-coding RNA, 1727 nt
Organism: Chinchilla lanigera (long-tailed chinchilla)
Lineage: Eukaryota; Metazoa; Chordata; Mammalia; Rodentia; Chinchillidae
Source: Ensembl
CACACAUUGUUUCGGGCACCAACUUGUUGCCUCCAUACAGUCUGGGUUUGUUGGACUCUGCUGAGCUUUGGGGAUAUGCAGGUUGAUCAGGAGGGCUGCAGUAUGUCUAUACACUGGAGUCAUGGUGAUAGAAUUUAAAUCCUUGGAGGUGCUUUAGAGGUUUACCCAGCCAGUUAUCACAAAUGAGGAAAAUGAAACUCAUACAAUUUGACUCACUGACCCAAGCCCAUGCCACUAAUGCAGCAGACACUGGAACCCAGACCCGUCUCCAGUUUCCCCACCAAGGUACUUUUCUCUGUUGCUUACAGCCUAGCAUUUUGGUUUAUUUCUGUGGCUGUAAUCUGUGGGCCAAACAAGUGAUGAAGAGGACGCCAGAGACUGAAUGACGGUGAGGGGCAGGGAUUUGGGGUUGGUGAGACCUGAGCUUGCACUGCGUCUCACUUGUGAGGUGGCUGCAGCCAAGGACACGUUCAAAGAAAGAGGAGGGGGGUGCAGUGGGUUGUGCCAGCGACACCGCACCUUUCUCUCAAGACAGGGGAAUUUAUACUGGAAGUAGUGUGUGAAAGUCUCCUGCUUCCAUUUCACGGGCCAGGUCAGGUGGUUUGUCCUUGGUUAGCUGGAAGAGAAAGGGACAUAUUUGGCCUCUCCAGUAGGAGGCAGUGAGGCCAGAUUGAGUCCAGAGUUUCAGGGAGCAGGAAGGUGGGACCGAGGCCUCCACAUGGCCUAUAGGUUGGAACAGACUGUGCAGAGAAGCAGGAGAGCAAUGAGAGGAGACUGGCUUGAGUCCUUCACCUGGUGUAACUCUCCCCUACCUGAGCGCUCUGCCUUCAUUCCCCAGGGCCACCUGGGAAAUAAUAGUAAGAGUGUCUCUAAGAGCAUGAAGAGAUUUGGGAAAGAGAGAACCAGGUCAUGGUUAUUGAAAGUGCUUGAGUGAAAUACAAAAGCUUUUCUAAAAUGCAAAGUGGUUUUGCACCAUCCCCCACAUAUCUCACCUUGGCGUCUCCUGCUCCUUAGGAACCAGGUAAGAGCGGUUCAGACUGCCCUUUCUUGGCUCACCAGACCCGUCACAUUAGAAGGGAUUGUGUUCUGUGGUUAUGCUGGCUCACAGCUGCAUUUCUGCUGCAUUGCUCCACUCAAGGACCACAUCCCAGCCUGGGGAGGCUCCUGGUGUCCCCACUUGACCCGGACAUCCAUCUCAGAGUCUUUCCUCUCUUUCCACCAACCUUGCCAAGCUCCAGGUAUAUUCACUUUACGAAGAGAGUCUGUAAAGCAAAUUGAAGACCAGAAACAAUCAGUCUCAGAGCCCAGCCUCUCCAUGAUGGUUUGGGGAAGAAUCCACCGGAAAAAAGAGGGGCUGCCAUGCCAGUGCUAUUUUGGUGAUACACAACUGAAAUUACGUCCUGAAGCUUGACCCAAGCUGCCUGAUACUUUGAGGCCCUGGGCUUAUAGCUGCCUAAGAAACAUGCAAUUCCAAAGGCCUGCCAGCCACACCAAAGAGAUUUUCCCAAGAAAGCGUGAACCAGGCGAGGCAGCUGCAGAGUGGGAGGAGAGCGAUGUUUUGAACCAGAAAACAAGAGUCAAAUGAGGCCAACAAUGCACAAAGCUCAGGCACUGUACAAAUGCUUGGUAAGCAUUCUGUUUCAUAAUAUUAAUGUCCUAAACUGGGCAAACAGAUUCUUGGAAUGAGCCAUAGCUGGAUGUCAGCCCUGGCUCCUUUUCAGCUCAAG